This is a long non-coding RNA of Neomonachus schauinslandi (Hawaiian monk seal), 124 nucleotides long. RefSeq lists it as uncharacterized. The record is from RefSeq and is a predicted model, not a curated record. The transcript is spliced from 3 exons. NCBI's taxonomy places the organism in Eukaryota, Metazoa, Chordata, Mammalia, Carnivora, Phocidae.
GAAUGUUUCCAGGAAGAGCUACAAAAAAUUUAAGAAGCUCCAAAGCCAAGACAAGUCACUCAGCAGGGAACUGAUGACCAGGGAGGCACCCUCCAAGUUUGUCACCCAGAAGAUAAACACCCAG